Molecule: ribosomal RNA, 473 nt
Filed under: uncultured bacterium
Lineage: Bacteria
Description: partial 16S ribosomal RNA
Rfam family: Bacterial small subunit ribosomal RNA
Source: RNAcentral
GAUGAACGCUAGCGGCAGGCCUAAUACAUGCAAGUCGAACGGGUGGUCGCAAGACCACUAGUGGCGCACGGGUGCGUAACGCGUAACCAACCUGCCCCGAUCUGGGGGAUAGCCCGCCGAAAGGCGGAUUAAUACCGCAUAUACCCGCAGCCUGGCAUCAGGCAACGGGGAAAGAUUUAUUGGAUCGGGAUGGGGUUGCGUGACAUUAGCUAGUUGGCGGGGUAAGGGCCCACCAAGGCGACGAUGUCUAGGGGACCUGAGAGGGUGAUCCCCCACACUGGCACUGAGAUACGGGCCAGACUCCUACGGGAGGCAGCAGUAGGGAAUAUUGGGCAAUGGGCGAGAGCCUGACCCAGCCAGGCCGCGUGCCGGAUGAAGGCCUUCUGGGUUGUAAACGGCUUUUCUCAGGGAAGAAAAAGACCUUGCGAGGUACACUGACGGUACCUGAGGAAUAAGCACCGGCUAACUCCGUG